AGCUAACUAGCUGUGGGCUAGCUGGUUUCAGUUGUUAGCCAGGGUUUGGCGGGCUAGUGUCAGCUAUGUGGAAAAUGACGGUGUCGUUUUGGAUGUAAUCCAAUAGAUAUUUAUUCAUGUGGAUUAUUUCUAUUUUGUCAUUUGUAGGGUGUGGAAAGAUUUAAAACUGUGAUGUGUGACACCUAUGGAAUACCAAAGGUGCCAGAAUUAAUUAAAUAAUAAAUACUCAACAAUUAUUAUGAAAUAGUAUUUCAUAAUCGUCGGAAGCAUUUAAAAGAUACUCACACGCAGGAGGUUUGCAGUGUGCAUCAUAGCUUGUGCUGGGUUUAGAACGCUCAGAAUUGCUAAUAAACAUGUUUAAUUAUCUUAUAUCCAGCGCUGCUGACCCGUAUUCAUCACAUCAGCAACUGCAGAUCGCCGAGGUCAAGCUGUAAGCAUGAGCAAGAGGAAGGGUGGCAGUGACAUUAGACAGUUUUUUGGGCAGCCUCAGAAAAGAAAAAAAAGUAAAGAGAGAGAGGGAGAGAGAGAAUGUGAGCAUGGCGACCAGACAGGGAGAGUGUGCGCUGGUGACAUGGAGGUAAGUCAGAAAGGAGCUAUAUUGAUGCUUAAGACAGAAUAAUGACAACAUAGCAGUCUAAUGUUAAUGUACAGACUCCUGUGUCCCCCCAUAUGUAUAAUGUGUAUCAACAGUCUUUCUAGUCAAUAGUUUACUGAUAUUUCUUCCAUGUUCACUCUGGUGUGUUCAGAGUAAAGAGAGAGAGGGAGAGAGAGAAUGUGAGCAUGGCGACCAGACAGGGAGAGUGUGCGCUGGUGACAUGGAGCUCAAGCUCAGAUGUUAUUGCUAGCAUUAUUCGGGAAAUGGUGCCAGAGGCGAGAGGUCUCUUCGGUCAGGUGGAAGCUUUAGUAAGGCUUCUGUUGGUCGUCCCUGCCUCUUCUGCAGAGGCUGAGAGGAGUUUUAGUGCCCUGAGGAGGCUUAAGACAUCAUCGAUGAGUCAAACGAGGCUGAAUAAUGUGGACAUAUGUCAUGUGCACCAGAAGAAACUGGACAGACUGGACCUUGAAGGAAUAUGCCAGUCUUUUAUCAGUGCCAACGAUAAGCGCAAAAAGGCUUUUGGGUCCUUUACUUGAGGGUUGGGCUUUUUGGGCGGGUGUCUGGGAGGAAGUUGGGGGUCUUUUUGAUUUUGAAUGAGCGGCAAGCAGCUAGUGCGAGUCGUGGCUGUAAAACAAAAGGGCAAUAAAGUGUUCCUGUUUCUACUGAAA
Gymnodraco acuticeps is the source of this 1260-nucleotide long non-coding RNA. RefSeq lists it as uncharacterized. The record is from RefSeq and is a predicted model, not a curated record. The transcript is spliced from 2 exons. NCBI's taxonomy places the organism in Eukaryota, Metazoa, Chordata, Actinopteri, Perciformes, Bathydraconidae.